AACGAACGCUGGCGGCAUGCCUAACACAUGCAAGUCGAACGAGACCUUCGGGUCUAGUGGCGCACGGGUGCGUAACGCGUGGGAACCUGCCCUUAGGUUCGGAAUAACUCCCCGAAAGGGGUGCUAAUACCGGAUAAUGUCUUCGGACCAAAGAUUUAUCGCCUUUGGAUGGGCCCGCGUUGGAUUAGCUAGUUGGUAGGGUAAAAGCCUACCAAGGCGACGAUCCAUAGCUGGUCUGAGAGGAUGAUCAGCCACACUGGGACUGGGACACGGCCCAGACUCCUAGGGGAGGGAGCAGUGGGGAAUAGUGGACAAUGGGCGGAAGCCUGAUCCAGCAAGGCCGCGUGAGUGAUGAAGGCCUUAGGGUUGUAAAGCUCUUUUACCCGGGAUGAUAAUGACAGUACCGGGAGAAUAAGCUCCGGCUAACUCCGUG
This 433-nucleotide ribosomal RNA is filed under the name uncultured bacterium. RNAcentral's name for it is "partial 16S ribosomal RNA". It matches the Rfam family "Bacterial small subunit ribosomal RNA", at positions 29 to 507 of the family's 1533-position model. The record is from RNAcentral.